RNAcentral lists this ribosomal RNA (484 nucleotides) under uncultured bacterium. RNAcentral describes it as "partial 16S ribosomal RNA". It matches the Rfam family "Bacterial small subunit ribosomal RNA", at positions 30 to 507 of the family's 1533-position model. The record is from RNAcentral.
AUUGAACGCUGGCGGCAGGCCUAACACAUGCAAGUCGAGCGGAUGAAGGGAGCUUGCUCCUGGCUUCAGCGGCGGACGGGUGAGUAAUGCCUAGGAAUCUGCCUGGUAGUGGGGGAUAACGUCCGGAAGCGGGCGCUAAUACCGCAUACGUCCUGAGGGAGAAAGUGGGGGAUCUUCGGACCUCACGCUGUCAGAUGAGCCUAGGUCGGAUUAGCUAGUUGGUGGGGUAAAGGCUUACCAAGGCGACGAUCCGUAACUGGUCUGAGAGGAUGAUCAGUCACACUGGAACUGAGACACGGUCCAGACUCCUACGGGAGGCAGCAGUGGGGAAUAUUGGACAAUGGGCGAAAGCCUGAUCCAGCCAUGCCGCGUGUGGGAAGAAGGUCUUCGGAUUGUAAAGCACUUUAAGUUGGGAGGAAGGGCAGUAAGUUAAUACCUUGCUGUUUUGACGUUACCGACAGAAUAAGCACCGGCUAACUUCGUG